RNAcentral lists this ribosomal RNA (394 nucleotides) under uncultured bacterium. RNAcentral describes it as "bacterial SSU rRNA". It matches the Rfam family "Bacterial small subunit ribosomal RNA", at positions 128 to 518 of the family's 1533-position model. The record is from RNAcentral.
ACCCUACUACUAGAGGGAUAGCCCGGCGAAAGUCGGAUUAAUACUCUAUGUUCUUCGUAGAAGACAUCUGAAAUGAAGCAAAGGUUUACCGGUAUAGGAUGGGGAUGCGUCUGAUUAGGUUGUUGGCGGGGUAACGGCCCACCAAGCCCACGAUCAGUAGGGGUUCUGAGAGGAAGGUCCCCCACAUUGGAACUGAGACACGGUCCAAACUCCUACGGGAGGCAGCAGUGAGGAAUAUUGGUCAAUGGACGAGAGUCUGAACCAGCCAAGUAGCGUGCAGGAUGACUGCCCUAUGGGUUGUAAACUGCUUUUAUGCGGGAAUAAAGUGAGGCACGUGUGCCUUUUUGUAUGUACCGCAUGAAUAAGGACCGGCUAAUUCCGUGCCAGCAGCGGC